CCGAGCUGUGUGCCGAGGCUGAGGAGCUCCGGGCCCGCCUGACCGCCAAGAAGCAGGAAUUAGAAGAGAUCUGCCAUGACCUAGAGGCCAGGGUGGAGGAGGAGGAGGAGCGCUGCCAGCACCUGCAGGCGGAGAAGAAGAAGAUGCAGCAGAACAUCCAGGAGCUUGAGGAGCAGCUGGAGGAGGAGGAGAGCGCCCGGCAGAAGCUGCAGCUGGAGAAGGUGACCACCGAGGCGAAGCUGAAAAAGCUGGAGGAGGAGCAGAUCAUCCUGGAGGACCAGAACUGCAAGCUGGCCAAGGAAAAGAAACUGCUGGAAGACAGAAUAGCUGAGUUCACCACCAACCUCACAGAAGAGGAGGAGAAAUCUAAGAGCCUCGCCAAGCUCAAGAACAAGCAUGAGGCAAUGAUCACUGACUUGGAAGAGCGCCUCCGCAGGGAGGAGAAGCAGCGACAGGAGCUGGAGAAGACCCGCCGGAAGCUGGAGGGAGACUCCACAGACCUCAGCGACCAGAUCGCCGAGCUCCAGGCCCAGAUCGCGGAGCUCAAGAUGCAGCUGGCCAAGAAAGAGGAGGAGCUCCAGGCCGCCCUGGCCAGAGUGGAAGAGGAAGCUGCCCAGAAGAACAUGGCCCUCAAGAAGAUCCGGGAGCUGGAAUCUCAGAUCUCUGAACUCCAGGAAGACCUGGAGUCUGAGCGUGCUUCCAGGAAUAAAGCUGAGAAGCAGAAACGGGACCUUGGGGAAGAGCUAGAGGCUCUGAAAACAGAGUUGGAGGACACGCUGGAUUCCACAGCUGCCCAGCAGGAGCUCAGGUCAAAACGUGAGCAGGAGGUGAACAUCCUGAAGAAGACCCUGGAGGAGGAGGCCAAGACCCACGAGGCCCAGAUCCAGGAGAUGAGGCAGAAGCACUCACAGGCCGUGGAGGAGCUGGCGGAGCAGCUGGAGCAGACGAAGCGGGUGAAAGCAAACCUCGAGAAGGCAAAGCAGACUCUGGAGAACGAGCGGGGGGAGCUGGCCAACGAGGUGAAGGUGCUGCUGCAGGGCAAAGGGGACUCGGAGCACAAGCGCAAGAAAGUGGAGGCGCAGCUGCAGGAGCUGCAGGUCAAGUUCAACGAGGGAGAGCGCGUGCGCACAGAGCUGGCCGACAAGGUCACCAAGCUGCAGGUGGAGCUGGACAACGUGACCGGGCUUCUCAGCCAGUCCGACAGCAAGUCCAGCAAGCUCACCAAGGACUUCUCCGCGCUGGAGUCCCAGCUGCAGGACACUCAGGAGCUGCUGCAGGAGGAGAACCGGCAGAAGCUGAGCCUGAGCACCAAGCUCAAGCAGGUGGAGGACGAGAAGAAUUCCUUCCGGGAGCAGCUGGAGGAGGAGGAGGAGGCCAAGCACAACCUGGAGAAGCAGAUCGCCACCCUCCAUGCCCAGGUGGCCGACAUG
This 1430-nucleotide long non-coding RNA is filed under the name Homo sapiens (human). Its description in RNAcentral is "long non-coding RNA NONHSAT192876.1". The record is from RNAcentral. Lineage: Eukaryota; Metazoa; Chordata; Mammalia; Primates; Hominidae.